This 492-nucleotide ribosomal RNA is filed under the name uncultured bacterium. RNAcentral's name for it is "partial 16S ribosomal RNA". It matches the Rfam family "Bacterial small subunit ribosomal RNA", at positions 29 to 507 of the family's 1533-position model. The record is from RNAcentral.
AGUGAACGCUGGCGGUAGGCCUAACACAUGCAAGUCGAACGGCAGCACAGUAAGAGCUUGCUCUUACGUGCGUCGCGUGGCGGACGGGUGAGGUAUACAUCGGAAUCUACUUUUUCGUGGGGGAUAACGUCGGGAAACUUCCGCUAAUACCGCAUACGACCUACGGGUGAAAGCCGGGGUUCUUCGAACCUUGUGCUAUUGAAUGAGCCGAUGUCGGCUUAGCUCGUUGGCGGGGUAGAGGCCCACCAAGGCGACGAUCCGUAUAUGGUCUGACAGGGUGAUCAGCCACACUGGAACUGAGACACGGUACAGACUCCUACGGGAGGCAGCAGUGGGGAAUAUUGGACGAGGGGCGCAAGCCUGAUCCAGCCAUACCGCGUGGGUGAUGAAGGACUUCGGGUGGUAGAGCCCUUUUGUUGGGAAAGAAAAGCAGCAGGUUAAUACCCCGCGGUUCUGACGGUACCCAAAGAAUAAGCACCGGCUAACUUCGUG